RNAcentral lists this ribosomal RNA (489 nucleotides) under uncultured bacterium. RNAcentral describes it as "bacterial SSU rRNA". It matches the Rfam family "Bacterial small subunit ribosomal RNA", at positions 30 to 516 of the family's 1533-position model. The record is from RNAcentral.
AUUGAACGCUGGCGGCAUGCUUUACACAUGCAAGUCGAACGGCAGCGGGGGCUUCGGUCCGCCGGCGAGUGGCGAACGGGUGAGUAAUGCAUCGGAACGUGCCCAGUCGUGGGGGAUAACACAUCGAAAGAUGUGCUAAUACCGCAUACGUCCUGAGGGAGAAAGCGGGGGAUCUUCGGACCUCGCGCGAUUGGAGCGGCCGAUGUCGGAUUAGCUAGUUGGUGGGGUAAAAGCCCACCAAGGCGACGAUCCGUAGCGGGUCUGAGAGGAUGAUCAGCCACACUGGGACUGAGACACGGCCCAGACUCCUACGGGAGGCAGCAGUGAGGAAUAUUGGUCAAUGGACGCAAGUCUGAACCAGCCACGUCGCGUGAAGGAAGACGGCCCUACGGGUUGUAAACUUCUUUUAUACGGGAAUAAAGUGCCCCACGCGGGGGUUUUGGUCAUGUACCGUAUGAAUAAGGAUCGGCUAACUCCGUGCCAGCAGCC